AGGUUUGCCUCAAGUUUUUUUUUUAUAUAUUUUUUUAUAGAAGCUUGGAACCUGUGCAUGUAAAUCCUUUAAGUGGCAUCAGUCGACCUUCUGAACUAUACAUUAGUAUUAUUGUUUAAUAUUGUAGAUAAAGAAUCUUGUUUUUUAAGUUUUGAAAUGAAUUAAAAUUGUUUUAAAGCUGUACCUGAAUCAAAAUUUCUCUUGCAAGCUUUAGCU
RNAcentral lists this unclassified non-coding RNA (216 nucleotides) under Hevea brasiliensis (rubber tree). Lineage: Eukaryota; Viridiplantae; Streptophyta; Magnoliopsida; Malpighiales; Euphorbiaceae. The record is from RNAcentral.